This 408-nucleotide ribosomal RNA is filed under the name uncultured organism. Its description in RNAcentral is "bacterial LSU rRNA". It matches the Rfam family "Bacterial large subunit ribosomal RNA", at positions 2078 to 2485 of the family's 2925-position model. The record is from RNAcentral.
GGACAGAAAGACCCUAUGAAGCUUUACUAUAGCUUGGAAUUGGGUUCGGGCUUUAAUUGCGCAGUAUAGGUGGGAGGCUUUGAAGAUAUUCUUGAGGGAAUAUUGGAGCCAUCAGUGAGAUACCACUCUUGUAAUGUUAGAUUUCUAACUUUGUAUCAUUAUCUGGUCAAAGAACAGUUUCAGGCGGGCAGUUUGACUGGGGCGGUCGCCUCCUAAACGGUAACGGAGGCGCACAAAGGUUUCCUCUGAACGGGUAGAAAUCGUAUCUAGAGUGUAAAGGCAUAAGGAAGCUUGACUGUGAGACCUACAAGUCGAGCAGGGACGAAAGUCGGUCUUAGUGAUCUGACGGUGCUGAGUGGAAAGGCCGUCACUCAACGGAUAAAAGUUACUCUAGGGAUAACAGGCUGA